AAGCCGCUUCGGUGGUGGAUUAGUGGCGAACGGGUGAGUAACACGUGGGCAAUCUGCCCUUCACUCUGGGACAAGCCCUGGAAACGGGGUCUAAUACCGGAUAACACUCUGUCCCGCAUGGGACGGGGUUAAAAGCUCCGGCGGUGAAGGAUGAGCCCGCGGCCUAUCAGCUUGUUGGUGGGGUAAUGGCCUACCAAGGCGACGACGGGUAGCCGGCCUGAGAGGGCGACCGGCCACACUGGGACUGAGACACGGCCCAGACUCCUACGGGAGGCAGCAGUGGGGAAUAUUGCACAAUGGGCGAAAGCCUGAUGCAGCGACGCCGCGUGAGGGAUGACGGCCUUCGGGUUGUAAACCUCUUUCAGCAGGGAAGAAGCGAAAGUGACGGUACCUGCAGAAGAAGCGCCGGCUAACUACGUGCCAGCAGCCGCGGUAAUACGUAGGGCGCAAGCGUUGUCCGGAAUUAUUGGGCGUAAAGAGCUCGUAGGCGGCUUGUCACGUCGGAUGUGAAAGCCCGGGGCUUAACCCCGGGUCUGCAUUCGAUACGGGCUAGCUAGAGUGUGGUAGGGGAGAUCGGAAUUCCUGGUGUAGCGGUGAAAUGCGCAGAUAUCAGGAGGAACACCGGUGGCGAAGGCGGAUCUCUGGGCCAUUACUGACGCUGAGGAGCGAAAGCGUGGGGAGCGAACAGGAUUAGAUACCCUGGUAGUCCACGCCGUAAACGUUGGGAACUAGGUGUUGGC
Molecule: ribosomal RNA, 740 nt
Filed under: Streptomyces griseus
Lineage: Bacteria; Bacillati; Actinomycetota; Actinomycetes; Kitasatosporales; Streptomycetaceae
Description: bacterial SSU rRNA
Rfam family: Bacterial small subunit ribosomal RNA
Source: RNAcentral